UGGGGAAUAUUGGACAAUGGGCGCAAGCCUGAUCCAGCCAUACCGCGUGGGUGAAGAAGGCCUUCGGGUUGUAAAGCCCUUUUGUUGGGAAAGAAAAGCAGCCGGUUAAUACCCGGUUGUUCUGACGGUACCCAAAGAAUAAGCACCGGCUAACUUCGUGCCAGCAGCCGCGGUAAUACGAAGGGUGCAAGCGUUACUCGGAAUUACUGGGCGUAAAGCGUGCGUAGGUGGUUGUUUAAGUCUGUCGUGAAAGCCCUGGGCUCAACCUGGGAAUUGCGAUGGAAACUGGGCGACUAUAGUGUGGCAGAGGGUAGUGGAAUUCCUGGUGUAGCAGUGAAAUGCGUAGAGAUCAGGAGGAACAUCCGUGGCGAAGGCGACUGCCUGGGCCAACACUGACACUGAGGCACGAAAGCGUGGGUAGCAAACAGG
Molecule: ribosomal RNA, 429 nt
Filed under: Acidobacteriota bacterium
Lineage: Bacteria; Pseudomonadati; Acidobacteriota
Description: Acidobacteria bacterium partial 16S ribosomal RNA
Rfam family: Bacterial small subunit ribosomal RNA
Source: RNAcentral